RNAcentral lists this transfer RNA (72 nucleotides) under Capra hircus (goat). It matches the Rfam family "tRNA". Rfam says of the family: Transfer RNA (tRNA) molecules are approximately 80 nucleotides in length. Their secondary structure includes four short double-helical elements and three loops (D, anti-codon, and T loops). The record is from Rfam by way of RNAcentral. RNAcentral also lists the same sequence under 1 other name. Lineage: Eukaryota; Metazoa; Chordata; Mammalia; Artiodactyla; Bovidae.
UCCCUGGCAGUCCAGUGGUUAGGACUUGGUACUUUCACUGCUGUGGCCUAGGUUCAAUUCUUGGCUGGGGAA